Balaenoptera ricei (Rice's whale) is the source of this 953-nucleotide long non-coding RNA. RefSeq lists it as uncharacterized. The record is from RefSeq and is a predicted model, not a curated record. NCBI's taxonomy places the organism in Eukaryota, Metazoa, Chordata, Mammalia, Artiodactyla, Balaenopteridae. The transcript has 6 exons.
GGUCCACAAGGAGUGAUUUUCUUCCCUAAGAAUCGGACGUGGGUUCUGCCCAUUGUGUCUGCCUGGCGGUGCAGCCUGGCAGGAAGCAGGUGGCCCAGCGUGGGACGUGGCUGCCGUGGGUCCCCAUCCCAGUGCCACCCUGCCCCCUGGCCGAGGAGCCUGGCAGCGGCCCCCGAGGUACCGGGAAGGAGAUGCAUAUGGAGAAAUCUUCCAGAACUGAGGCCCCGUCAGCGAAUUGCACCUGUGGUGCAGUGAGUGGCGCAGGAGUUUGCACAUUUUUCUGUGACAAACCUGAGAGUAGAGGCAGGUGAUGUGAUCCGAGGUGCAAGCUCAGUCCUGCCUCCAAACCAGGGUGGACCCUGAUCCCAUGUGACUGGUGUCCUUAAAAGAAGAGUUGAUUAGGACACAGACACACACGGAGGGAAGACCACCUGAGGACACAGGGAGAAGACAGCAUCUCCAAGCCAAGGAGGGAGGCCUCCAAAGAAACCAUCCCUGCCGACACCCUGACCUUGGACUUCCAGCCUCUGAACGGGGCCCUGCGCUCCUGCUUCCCAGGACCGUCUCUCCCAGGCGAUGGCUCUCGACGCCCCAGAGGGAACUUGCUCCUUCCCCGUUCGGGAGCCUCACUCCGCCGUUUCCCGCCCAAGAUGCCCCUCUCAAGGGCACAUCUGCCCUUCAAUGAGGUGGAUUUAAAACUCUCCAAAUACCAACAGGAGACUGUGUUCAAGCCUCCACUGGGAUCACCAGCGCAAUGGUCUCUUAGGUUCCCUGACCAGGCAUUGAGCUCGGGCCCCGGCAGUGAAAGCUCUGAGUCCUAACCGCUGGACCACCAGGGAAUUCCCAGCAAAAUUUUAAGUCUAUAAUCCAUCAUUGUUUUUUUAAAUUUAUUUUCAUUUUUAUUGACGUAUAGUUGAUUUACAAUGUUGUGUUACUUUCUGCUGUACAGCAAA